This 29-nucleotide non-coding RNA is filed under the name Rattus norvegicus (Norway rat). Lineage: Eukaryota; Metazoa; Chordata; Mammalia; Rodentia; Muridae. The record is from RNAcentral.
UGUAUACAACAGCCACAUUGUCUGCAGUA